CAGCCGCCGCGGGAAUACGAAGGGUGCAAGCGUUAAUCGGAAUUACUGGGCGUAAAGGGUGCGUAGGCGGUUGUUUAAGUCUGUUGUGAAAGCCCUGGGCUCAACCUGGGAAUUGCAGUGGAUACUGGGUCACUAGAGUGUGGUAGAGGAUAGUGGAAUUUCCGGUGUAGCAGUGAAAUGCGUAGAGAUCGGAAGGAACAUCUGUGGCGAAGGCGACUAUCUGGGCCAACACUGACACUGAGGCACGAAAGCGUGGGGAGCAAACAGGAUUAGAUACCCCAGUAGUCCCUGUCUCUUAUAC
RNAcentral lists this ribosomal RNA (301 nucleotides) under uncultured bacterium. Its description in RNAcentral is "partial 16S ribosomal RNA". It matches the Rfam family "Bacterial small subunit ribosomal RNA", at positions 509 to 807 of the family's 1533-position model. The record is from RNAcentral.